Molecule: ribosomal RNA, 456 nt
Filed under: Hepatocystis sp.
Lineage: Eukaryota; Apicomplexa; Aconoidasida; Haemosporida; Plasmodiidae
Description: SSU rRNA
Rfam family: Eukaryotic small subunit ribosomal RNA
Source: RNAcentral
AAUACAGUACUUGUUAUGCCUUAUUAAAAAAAAGUUUUAUAACAUAAGGAAUUAUAACAAAGAAGCAACACAUAAAAUAUGAAUGUCAUAUUUUUUAGUGUGUAUCAAUCGAGUUUCUGACCUAUCAGCUUUUGAUGUUAGGAUAUGGGCCUACCAUGGUGACCACGGGUGACGGGGAAUCAGGGUUCGAUUCCGGAGAGGGAGCCUGAGAAACGGCUACCACAUCCAAGGAAGGCAGCAGGCGCGCAAAUUACCCAAUUCUAAAGAAGAGAGGUAGUGACAAGAAAUAAUAGGACAAGACUAAUUUUUUAGUUUUGUAUCUGUGCUGAUAGAAUUUUAAAACCAUUCUAAAAUUCCAUUGGAGGGCAAGUCUGGUGCCAGCAGCCGCGGUAAUUCCAGCUCCAAUAGCGUAUAUUAAAGUUGCUGCAGUUAAAAAGCUCGUAGUUGGAUCUCAAA